AGCUCCAAUAGCGUAUAUUAAAGUUGCUGCGGUUAAAAAGCUCGUAGUCGGAUCUCAGUCUCGGUCGGACGGUCCAUUUCACGAUGGUACUGUUCGAAUCGGACAUUUGGCCGCGUUUCUCAGUAUGCUCUUGACUGAGUGUACUGUGAGAGUGGCACGUUUACUUUGAAAAAAUUAGAGUGCUCAAAGCAGGCAAUCGCCUGAAUCUUCGUGCAUGGAAUGAUGGAAUAGGGCCUCGAUCCUGUUUUGUUGGUUCAAGGGAUUUGAGGUAAUGAUUAAGAGGGACGGCCGGGGGCAUUCGUAUUGCGACGUUAGAGGUGAAAUUCUUAGAUCGUCGCAAGACGGACUACUGCGAAAGCAUUUGCCAAGAAUGUUUUCAUUGAUCAAGAACGAAAGUAGG
This 400-nucleotide ribosomal RNA is filed under the name phytoplankton environmental sample. Its description in RNAcentral is "partial small subunit ribosomal RNA". It matches the Rfam family "Eukaryotic small subunit ribosomal RNA", at positions 587 to 993 of the family's 1831-position model. The record is from RNAcentral.